GAGCUCUCCGGCUCUCAGGAGCGAAAGCUUCCAAGUUGGGCUCUCCCCUUGGCCCCUUCCACCCAGGGAAGACAGCUGGGUCCUCCAGGACCAAGAAUCCCCAAAGGGGCUGCUCCCAGAGGUUGUGUUGCAGGGACUGGAGAGAGGACUUCCCAGUACAGGGGCUGGCCCUCUGAUCAGGUGGGGGUAGGUGGCAGCAGAGCAUUUGGUAGGAGGUCAGGAGCUCAUAGGAGAUGGGAUUCUGCCGAUGCCUGCUGAAUGAAUGAGGGAGGGAGACGGCAGGACCAGGGACUGGGGAAUUGGUACUAAGGUGCUGGGUACCUGCCGAGCACCCUGUCCAUACAUGAUCUCAGUUCAGCUCUCCACCUUGGAAACACAAGAAAGGAUCCCUGGCUGAAGAGGGAAACAGAGGCUGGAAACAGUGAGUUCCUCCUCCUAACUCAGGCUUCCAGGAAGGAUAUCCUCUGCUUCUCAGACCUGAACCUGCCUCGAAUACUCAUGAGGACCCAGGAGCUACUCCUCACCUCCCACUUCUCCUCUGUCCUGUCACAUAACCAAGGCACGGCCAACUGAUCUCCAACCAUCUGAGGAACCAAUCGUGUGUGGGAACCGCUGAGCAGAACACCCUCCCCCAGCGGGAAAUCCGGGACACGCAGGAGCCUCAGUGAAUCCGACCAUUGUCUCAUCUCACCAG
Molecule: long non-coding RNA, 694 nt
Filed under: Homo sapiens (human)
Lineage: Eukaryota; Metazoa; Chordata; Mammalia; Primates; Hominidae
Description: non-protein coding lnc-KLRB1-12:3
Source: RNAcentral